Long non-coding RNA from Oreochromis niloticus (Nile tilapia), 2008 nucleotides. RefSeq lists it as uncharacterized. Lineage: Eukaryota; Metazoa; Chordata; Actinopteri; Cichliformes; Cichlidae. The transcript has 4 exons. The record is from RefSeq and is a predicted model, not a curated record.
AAUGUGAGGGCUGGUUGUUCCUUUAUUGGAUUUGUGUAGGACGUUUCUUAAUGACUGGAUGUGGAGAUGAAAGAAGAAUAAACAGGAAGAAAUUCCACGAAUGUUGCCGGGAACAGUAUCAGCGUGACCAUAUGAAUCAUAUCCCUCUUCCAACUAUUUCUACUGUGUCAUAGAACAAUUUCACGCAAAUGUACUCAUUAGCAGAGGAAGUCAGCAAAACAAAGCACAAUGUGGACAAAGCCAGUGGUUUGUCAAGUUAGAUUAUGACCUGGCGUCCUCUAGGUGACCCCAAAUCGGUAGAUUGACUUUAAAGAUUCUCGGAUGUUUGCUGCAUUAUCCACGUAGUUCGGUUAACAUUCACAAUAAAAAUAGGUUAAUAAAACAUUUCCUGAAGCAUGAAAGUAUCCUUGUUUGAUCCCAGCCAUCAUGUGAAGCUCACAGGAAGUAAUAGAUUUGAUUUUUAGUAUGCGGGUUUCAGUUUAUGCGUGUUAAAGCAGCUUUUGCAGGUAUUCUGCUGGUCUGGAGAAGUGGCACCUUGACUCGAGCAUUAAUCCUUCCAAACAAAAUCGUCAUCAUGCAGACUUAAAGUAUUUUAGGCAGAUAGAGAAGAGAUGGAGACCCGAAUCAGGUGAUAAAGAAUAGGAAGGGAAGCUGUGCGUAAACCUUCUGUUUAUGAGUUCUAGUCCUGAACUUUGAAACAAAAUUCAGACACCUUGAUAGGUCUGAUUUAUCCCUAAAGUAUGGAGUGCGCACAGCUUAUUAACCCCUACGCCAGUGUGUUGUGGGCUUUGUGACAACUAUACAUUAUUACUGAAAGAUGGCAGGAGUUUUAGUCACAUGAAGGAGCACAUGGGCAUCUGGAUAAAAGGAGAAGUGAAACGUUUCCUGGCUUCACCACCCACCUCACACAACUCUGUAAUUCUCUAAAACACAGUAGUUCUGUCUCAGCUGUCAACACUGCCAUAAGACGGCUUCUUCGUAACGAUGAGACACGUGACAGCGGCACUGUGUGACGCUCCUGGAUGAGAAUGCAUUUUUUCGGUAUUCGCAGUUGCAGCUUGGCACAUGAAAGAUGGCCCAUCACCUAAAGAAAAGCGGAAAAAAGAAGCGCUCUCUCAGCCCGCUGGCUUUCCUCUGCAGCAGCUGUCGGUCAGCGUCAGUUGGUGUAUCUCGGAAACACAGAUCGCUAAUGAGGCUGGAGCUCUCGAGGACUGCCUGGCCCUGAACUCAGCAUCACACGGUGCUAAGUGACGAGGAUCCCCUGCUGCACCCAGGGAGGGUUAUGCAUCUAAAACGUGAAUAUUAUAUACGUCACGUCAAAUCAGGAGACGGGUGCUCUCAUCUGCAGCUUGAGCUGUCUGGCUUUGAGAUCUCGCUGUGCUCGGGGUGGUCCUGCAAACUCAGGAAAGUCCAGGUACGAUUUGAUUAAUGUGGAUUUUGGCUCGUCUGGACAGAAACAUCAGCAAGGACACUGCGGACGUAAAAUGCUUCUGCUGCUGCUGCUGUGAUGGUGGUGUUGCAGACCCCCCAUGCAGGCCAGAUCUUUCUGCAGCUUCUGCACCGACACAUGAUCUGACUAGGAAGGAUGCAAAGGUGGAAGCAGACCGUGCUGGAUUUAGUUUCACAGCAUCUUACUGGAGCAAACGCACACAACAUACUGCAAGGUUUUCAGUAGUAUCUACUUCCCCCUUUUUUUUUCUUUUUUUUGUUUGAGAGGACACGGAUACACCCUGACUGGGCCCCUGUAGUGCUCUACAUUGUGGUUGGGAAGUACCUAGUUUUACAACUGUCAUGCUGGCCUGCUUAAAGGGACAGUGCUGAUCAAUUCGAAGCACAUAUUCAGGGGUCUUUUAGUCACCCUAACAAGGGGGGUCACAUGGAUGUUUGAGUCGUCAUUCCUCAUGUGAGGAAUGUGCAGUCCGAAGAGCCGCUUUCUGCAUCAAGCACUGCAUAAAAAUACUGAUUGAUAUUUGUUAAAAGAAUGUCUUUAAUAAAAAGUUGAAUUGAA